Molecule: long non-coding RNA, 783 nt
Organism: Hibiscus syriacus
Lineage: Eukaryota; Viridiplantae; Streptophyta; Magnoliopsida; Malvales; Malvaceae
Exons: 2
Source: RefSeq, a predicted model, not a curated record
UUGUCCCAAAUCCAUAUCAUGUUUCAGUCUGAAACCUAGAAGGUGGCUAAGCAAAGCAGCCUUCUUUCCUUUAGUUUAUUGCAAAUAACAUCCAACCAACUCAUCUGCUGUAACAUAUCUGUGCCCGAAUCUUAAGCGCUUCUUCGCCUUUUACAUAAAAAUCCCAGUAACUCCUACUCCAUCUUUUUUCCUGCUCUUUAAAGUUUGACUGCAAAGUUCUUAACAGUAAAGACCGAGAUAAAGCUGCAUAAGAAGAAGUUUACUAUAAUAUUUUAAUGGCUCAUGAUACCUCUUCUGUUGCUGAAUCACCUCGAUGGCGUUCUGGUCUUCUGCGAGACCAGGUGCAGUUGACUAAAAGAAAGGACUGUGAUCGCUAUGAGAUUGUUCCAAUCAAAGAUAAAUUGUCCUUUGAGAAAGGUUUCUUCAUCGUAAUUUGUGCAUGCCAAUUAUUGGCUCAAAAGAAUGAUGGAUUGAUUUUAGUUGGAGUAGCUGGACCGUCUGGAGCUGGAAAGACUGUUCACAGAGAAGGUUCUCAACUUUAUGCCUAGCAUAGCUGUCAUAACCAUGGACAACUAAAAUGAUGCUAGCCGAAUUAUUGACGGGAACUUGGAUGGUAAAAUCUAAAAUUCUUCACAUUUUAGAAAAACUUUUAUAUAAGGCCAUCCCAUCAUUAAUUAUGUUGCUUUAUUUCUAUAUAUGAUAAAAAUGGAUGCCCCCCGAUAUUGCUUUCUGACAUUGGAUGAUUUGCAGCAAGAUAUGCUUUUGGGAGCUUUUAUGUUAAGA